This 556-nucleotide unclassified non-coding RNA is filed under the name Hevea brasiliensis (rubber tree). The record is from RNAcentral. Lineage: Eukaryota; Viridiplantae; Streptophyta; Magnoliopsida; Malpighiales; Euphorbiaceae.
AGUUUUAAUUAUAUCUUUAAAUAUGUAUGCAUUUCAUGAAUUUUGCAAAUUUUUCAAAAAAAUUUACGUAGCAACAGGCUGUUACCGUUACGCUACGGCUGUUAUAGGCCCGUUUCCAUUACUCGCGACCACAACUGCGAUUUAAAACCAUGAUUACAACAAUGCCCAGACACAUAAAAUAUGUUAAAUAUCAUAAAGACAAAUGCAGCAACAAAGUCAAAUAAUCUGUUGGUAAGACAUUUAUGCCAUUAACUCCUUACUUAUCAAUUGACCAUAUUUCUUGCCAAAGGCUUGAAAGCAAUUUCAUACAACUAAGUUAGUCAACAUAUCUCAUAUCUAUUAAAAGACAAAUGUCGUAAUUGCCACCAGCUUGGUCCUCAUUGUGCUCUCAAAAAAAUAGAGACAAACACAAUAUGUUGGUAAACUUCCACUUACUGAAGCAGAGAAGUUUCCAGCAUAUCCACAUGCUAUACACAAAGGACUAAAUGGAUGAGAUAUCAAUAAGUGAUCCAAAUACUCAAUGGUCGCAAAAACCAAUGCUUUUGUUAUUACCUUG